AAUUACAGGUGUGAGCCACCAUGCCCAGCCAGGAAAUAGUAUAUAUUUAGUAAAUAUUUUUUAAAAUAUUGAAACAAUAUGAAUGAUGUCAUCCCACUUAUGUAAAACAAAUACACAGGAAAUAUCCAAAAGGGUUUCUAAGCAACUGAUCCCAGUGACUUUUUCUGGAAAGUAAAACUUAAAAAUUAGCUACAGUAGGAACCUUUCACAUUUUAUUUUAUUACAGAAUACUUGAAUUUCUUUCUAUGACAAUGUAGUACUAAAAAUAAUCUCUUUGUUCAAAAAUGAAACACAGAGAAAAUCAUGCAAAAUAAAUGUGUGGUUUAAUGAGUUAUACUAAGUCAAAAAGCCUCAGAACCACUACCAGGUUAAGAAAUAAAACUUUACCAACCAUCUAAAACCACCAAGGCAUCAGUCCCAUCACAGCCCCUUCCCUUCCCACACAGGUAAUCACUCCUGACUUUUAUAGUAAUGACAUUCCAGCUUUUAAAAACAGCUCUAACAUCCAUGUUUACCAAAUAUAAUUAGGAUUGUAUUAUUUUUAAACUUUGACAUUUCUUUUAAGUCUCUUUUUAUCCAUAGAUUUUUCUCUCUACCUUUUAUGUUCCUUAUACAUUAUUUGCUGAAGGAUCCAAGAUAUAUUUGAACUGAACUUGUUGACUGCAUACACAUGGUGCAGCAUGUUCCUCUGUCCUCUGGGUUUCCUGCCAAUUGGAAAGCCUGAUGGAUAAUACCCAUGGACUUUAAUGAAGGCCUCAUCCCAUAUGUCAUCUCUGGCUCCUGCUCUCCACCCAUUGGUUGUAUGCCAUGCUGUCUUCAGACUUCCAGUCAGCCCUCCUGAGCACACCUCUUCUCUCGUGGACCUGUGAGUGAUCAAAUGUUUCUUUUAUUUUCUGUUUUGUUGUGUUGCCUGCUCUGUUUUGCACCUAAUCAAUA
Molecule: long non-coding RNA, 936 nt
Filed under: Homo sapiens (human)
Lineage: Eukaryota; Metazoa; Chordata; Mammalia; Primates; Hominidae
Description: HSALNT0069324
Source: RNAcentral